Molecule: unclassified non-coding RNA, 330 nt
Filed under: uncultured Mortierella
Lineage: Eukaryota; Fungi; Mortierellomycota; Mortierellomycetes; Mortierellales; Mortierellaceae
Description: sequence contains ITS2
Source: RNAcentral
AACGCACAUUGCACUCUCUGGUAUUCCGGAGAGUAUGCUUGUUUGAGUAUCUGUAAACAUCUCAAAUCUCUACUUUAUUGUAAAGAAUUGGACUUGAGCAAUCCCAACUCCUUCGUCAGAAAGAGAAGGGUUGCUUGAAAUGCAGGUGCAGCUGGACAUUCUUCUGAGCUAAAAGCAUAUUUAUUUAGUCCCGUCAAACGGAUUAUUAUUCUUGCUUCAGCUUACAUAAAGGUUGAAUGACUACCAAGGCUGAUUGCAGGUAAACUCGUUCCGUAAAAAAGAACUUGUAAACUCGAUCUCAAAUCAAGUAAGACUACCCGCUGAACUUAA